GACAUCUUUAUGGUGCCUCAUCCAUGGUCUCAAACACCAUCGCAGCCGUUUCGCACUCAGUAGUGUGAAGGAGAUGGAUCCAAGGGGAUCUGCGGCUCUUCCGACAGCGGAGGGACCAGGUUAUUCCUGAUUCCGACAGUGGGUUCCAAACUAAAAAUUGGAGGAGUUUUUUCAUUCCCUUCAAACUCGCAAUUUCAUUCCCUAAUAUGAUCUUUGUGCUCAGCUUCGAAUUAUAUACAUCUUGAGUUAGGGCCUGUUUAUGUGAUUUCUCUGUGGCCGCUAGAGGGUGACGACAUGGAGAAUAGGACACCUCUAAGGAACAAUUCAGUAGAAUUAGACAAGGCUGAUGGGCUCAAUGCAGUGGCUAGGGUUGGAAUCUCAGAUGAACAUCGGUUAAUCCUUUGUGAUCUUCAUUGGAGUUUUUUGGUUUUCGGUGAGUACAAGUAUUCAGACUUGAUAAUUUAAUUUUUUUUUAGGAAACAAAGCCAUUGGAUUAUGCAUUGAAGAAACCUGACAUGGGAAAACCAUCUGCAGCAAGAUGAUAUAGCCAAGGCAUAACCAUUAGAUAGAACUUUACACGUGUCAUAGCAAAGGAAAAAAUUGCACAAUAAAUUAUUGCAGGGUCUUGAGGAUAACAUGUACUCAAGACUCAACUUUGCAGGGCAAGUUCAGCCUGAUUAAAUGGGAUCUACAGUGUCAAAUCCACCUCUUUCAAUUGCCUCCGGUCCAGUUUUGAUAACAUGUGAAAUGGAUCCUCAAUCUUAAAUCGACUGAUUCCUCUUUAUCAGUGAGUUCCAUGUUCAUGCCGAUGGAGGUAAGGUAUGACAGGGUUUAGGGUUUUGAUGGUGCUUAUGAAGUUGAGUUUGUAAAUGAUUUUACUUCUCUAUUUAUCCUUUGAUUCUAUUUUUUCUUUUUUUCUUUCAUUUCCUUUACUGAUUAUUCCAAAUUUUAUGGCAGGAAUCGGAUAGGGAACCAAAUACUUAUGAAAACAUUAAGCAACAGUUGGAGCAACUAAGAUGCUGAUAUCUGGAUGUCCCUGAUGGUGGAUCAAGGUUGAGCACACCGAAAAAGUGAAGACGGGAUGGAUAAGAUGGUUAUGGAUGCUGGAGAUUAAUUUUUGAUGCAUCUAUUUGUGAUGGGGUUGGAACUGGCUAUGGUGUGAUUCAUAGAGACCAGGAAGGGCAAUGUGUUAAAGAGCCAAAUAUUGCAGAAGCACUUGGGACACAUUGGGCUUUGACUUGGGCAAGAGGUGGAAGAGCCCAAAGAUGCUCACACAUCUCUUCGGUUUGGUGCCAAUCAAAGUUCAGAUUCAUUAACCCCUCCUUUUCUUGAAGGUUUUUGAUAUAGCAAUGAGAAGAAAUGAAGUAGACUUCUUGGAUCAGUUUUAGUGCCCAUAUCAGCAGAAAUUCACAUUUUUAGAUCUACCCUCUCAGAUUCUUCUACCAAUGAGAACACACUUGAGGUCCCAAAUUCUCCAGAUCCUCCAUAAAGGUACGAGCUGAUGUAUGCUCACAAGUUGGUUUAUGUUUUACCAAAAGGGAUUUAUCUAAGAGUUGUUGGCCGUAGUAGUCCAGCUGAUAUAAAACCAGUGCUAAGGUCUUGCCAAUGAUGUAAUAUUAGGACUGAAUUUCUGAAGGAGGAGGCUGUAGAUGAGCAUUGUCGAUGCAUCCGCUGAUGGCAAAGAAACGGGGCAUCAUGACAGCACUUGCAAUUGAUUUUACAAAAGGUUGCCAUUACUAAAAAGUUUUAGAGAUUUGAGAGAGAGAAUGAAACUGAAUCUGGAAAGAAAGAAGGGGGUGCAAAUAAGGAGCAAGAGGUGGAAGGUGUGAGGGACUUAUAGAAAGGGGAAGUAGGUGUUGCAGUGAGUAGUUUAGGGAAAUUAUGGUGCGUGAUAAAAAUGGUGGUGCUCAUAAUGAUCAUGAAUAGUUUAAUUUGUUAAGGUUCAAAAGGCUCACAUGCGCUCUACUCUAGCCUCAAAACAUCAUGAACAAGUAUGUUUUUUUUGUUUUGUAAAUUUUGGCUCUGUUAAAUUUGUGAAAAAAUGAUUGUUCAAGCCAAGACCUUAAUGGAAAUUUACAUUUUUUUAAAGAUAUAAACGGUUUCCUUGA
Lotus japonicus is the source of this 2108-nucleotide long non-coding RNA. RefSeq lists it as uncharacterized. The record is from RefSeq and is a predicted model, not a curated record. The transcript has 9 exons. Lineage: Eukaryota; Viridiplantae; Streptophyta; Magnoliopsida; Fabales; Fabaceae.